AAACCUAAGACUUCAACCCUAAGUUACUCUGGGCUGGACCAAGGCUUUUUUGCAUACUCAGAGACCAGUAGAGCUCUGGCUCAUUGAAACAAACUUGGGCAGUCUUCACAGUGCUAGCGCUUGUGCAGAACAGGAUGUUGAAGACGCCCCAUCGUGGUGUUUUAUUUUGAUGGACAGAGGAAGAAAGGACUAGGAAAUGUGUCCUCAUCUGACAGCAGCAUAACCCAUAGACUGAUGAAAGUUCCUGCAGUCCUUCCUUCAUGACUUUCCUGAUGGAAUCUGAGCCCGCUGCAAUCCAAAACUCUUUUAUUCAUUUUUUGUUUUACAUGCUGGUUUAUAGCAGAGUGGCUGUCCUGUAUAACAGUUACACUGAGUGUGCUUGCCUCUCCUGCAUCCUCUUCUACCUCCUUUAAACCUCUUCCGCCUCUGCCACCCCUGAAAUAGCAAGACCAAUCCCUCGUCUUCCUCCUCCUCAUCAGCCUACUCCAUGCGAAGAUGACAAGGAUGAAGAUCUUUAAGAUGAUCCACUUCCACUUAAUGAAUAUGAAGAAUGUUUUCUCAACCUUGUGCUUUAAGAGCCUGGUCUCAUACUACUUGCUAUGCUUAGUUUCCCAGCUCCUAUAGUAUAUAUUUUCAAAUUAGUGGAAAGCUACUCACGAACUACAACUCUCAAGAGACACCCAUUUCUUCCAGGAUUCAAUCAUCCUCCUGAGCUUCAUAUAAGGAGACCAGAGAUGACUGAGACCACUCGUCUUCCCCAGGAC
Gorilla gorilla gorilla (western lowland gorilla) is the source of this 764-nucleotide long non-coding RNA. RefSeq lists it as uncharacterized. The record is from RefSeq and is a predicted model, not a curated record. NCBI's taxonomy places the organism in Eukaryota, Metazoa, Chordata, Mammalia, Primates, Hominidae. The transcript is spliced from 5 exons.